GAUCAUGGCUCAGAUUGAACGCUGGCGGCAGGCCUAAUACAUGCAAGUCGAACGGUAACAUAAAGAAGCUUGCUCUUUUGAUGACGAGUGGCGGACGGGUGAGUAAUAUUUGGGAAACUACCUGAUAGAGGGGGACAACAGUUGGAAACGACUGAUAAUACCGCAUAGGCACACAGUACCGCAUGGUACAGGGUGAAAAGAUUUAUCACUGUGAGAUGGACCCGCGUCUGAUUAGCCAGUUGGCAGGGUAACGGCCUACCAAAGCGACGAUCAGUAGCCGACCUGAGAGGGUGACCGGCCACAUUGGGACUGAGACACGGCCCAAACUCCUACGGGAGGCAGCAGUGGGGGAUAUUGCACAAUGGAGGAAACUCUGAUGCAGCGACGCCGCGUGAGUGAAGAAGUAUUUCGGUAUGUAAAGCUCUAUCAGCAGGGAAGAUAAUGACAGUACCUGACUAAGAAGCCCCGGCUAACUACGUG
This 480-nucleotide ribosomal RNA is filed under the name uncultured bacterium. Its description in RNAcentral is "bacterial SSU rRNA". It matches the Rfam family "Bacterial small subunit ribosomal RNA", at positions 15 to 507 of the family's 1533-position model. The record is from RNAcentral.